RNAcentral lists this ribosomal RNA (396 nucleotides) under Ursus thibetanus (Asiatic black bear). RNAcentral describes it as "partial 12S ribosomal RNA". It matches the Rfam family "Bacterial small subunit ribosomal RNA", at positions 842 to 1402 of the family's 1533-position model. The record is from RNAcentral. Lineage: Eukaryota; Metazoa; Chordata; Mammalia; Carnivora; Ursidae.
CAUAAAUAAUUUAUCAAACAAAAUUAUUCGCCAGAGAACUACUAGCAACGGCUUAAAACUCAAAGGACUUGGCGGUGCUUUAAACCCCCCUAGAGGAGCCUGUUCUGUAAUCGAUAAACCCCGAUAGACCUCACCACCCCUUGCUAAUCCAGUCUAUAUACCGCCAUCUUCAGCGAACCCUUAAAAGGAAAAAGAGUAAGCACAAUCAUCUUGCAUAAAAAAGUUAGGUCAAGGUGUAACCCAUGGGAUGGGAAGAAAUGGGCUACAUUUUCUAUUCAAGAACAACCUACGAAAGUUUUUAUGAAACUAAAAACUAAAGGUGGAUUUAGUAGUAAACCAAGAAUAGAGAGCUUGGUUGAAUAAGGCAAUGAAGCACGCACACACCGCCCGUCACCC